AGCAGCCGCGGUAAUUCCAGCUCCAAUAGCGUAUAUUAAAGUUGUUGCAGUUAAAAAGCUCGUAGUUGAAUUUCGGGAUCAGUACGCCGGUCGUGCUUCGGUAUGCACUGGUGUCACUGGUUCCUCCCUUCUGAAGAACCAUCAUGCCAUUCAGUUGGUGUGGCGGGGAAUCAGGACUGUUACUUUGAAAAAAUUAGAGUGUUUAAAGCAGGCUCGCGCUUGAAUACAUUAGCAUGGAAUAAUGAAAUAGGACGUUUGACCCUAUUUUGUUGGUUUCUAGGAUCGACGUAAUGAUUAAUAGGGAUAGUUGGGGGCAUUAGUAUUCAAUUGUCAGAGGUGAAAUUCUUGGAUUUAUUGAAGACUAACUACUGCGAAAGCAUUUGCCAAGGAUGUUUUCAUUAAUCAAGAACGAAAGUUAGGGGAUCGAAGACGAUCAGAUACCGUCGUAGUCUUAACCAUAAACUAUGCCGACUAGGGAUCGGAUGAUGUUAAUUUUUGAAUGACUCAUUCGGCGCCUUACG
RNAcentral lists this ribosomal RNA (521 nucleotides) under uncultured Glomeraceae. RNAcentral describes it as "SSU rRNA". It matches the Rfam family "Eukaryotic small subunit ribosomal RNA", at positions 569 to 1092 of the family's 1831-position model. Lineage: Eukaryota; Fungi; Glomeromycota; Glomeromycetes; Glomerales; Glomeraceae. The record is from RNAcentral.